RNAcentral lists this ribosomal RNA (460 nucleotides) under uncultured bacterium. RNAcentral describes it as "partial 16S ribosomal RNA". It matches the Rfam family "Bacterial small subunit ribosomal RNA", at positions 338 to 795 of the family's 1533-position model. The record is from RNAcentral.
CCUACGGGAGGCAGCAGUGAGGAAUAUUGGUCAAUGGACGAAAGCCUGAACCAGCCACGCCGCGUGAAGGAUGACGGCCCUAGGGUUUUAAACCUUUUUUUAUAGAGAAAUACAGCGAGUCACGUAUGCCUUUUUGCAUGUACUUUAUCAAUAAGGAUCGGCUAACUACGUUCCGUCACCCGCGGUAAGACGGAGGAUCCGAGCGUGUUCUGGAUUGAUUGUGUUUGAAGUGAGCGUAGAUGGGUGGUUAAGUCAGUUGUGAAAGCUUGCGGCUCAACCGGAAAAGUGCAAUGGAUACUGGCAGUCUUGAGUACAGUUGAGGGAGGCGGAAUUCGUGGUGUAGCGGUGAAAUGCUUAGAUAUCAGGAAGAACACCGAUUGCGAAGGCAGCUUACUAAACUGUGACUGACAUUGAUGCGCGAAAGUGUGGGUAUCAAACAGGAUUAGAUACCCUAGUAGUC